Molecule: ribosomal RNA, 497 nt
Filed under: uncultured bacterium
Lineage: Bacteria
Description: partial 16S ribosomal RNA
Rfam family: Bacterial small subunit ribosomal RNA
Source: RNAcentral
GAUGAACGCUGGCGGCGUGCCUAAUACAUGCAAGUCGAGCGAACGGACGAGAAGCUUGCUUCUCUGAUGUUAGCGGCGGACGGGUGAGUAACACGUGGAUAACCUACCUAUAAGACUGGGAUAACUUCGGGAAACCGGAGCUAAUACCGGAUAAUAUUUUGAACCGCAUGGUUCAAAAGUGAAAGACGGUCUUGCUGUCACCUAUAGAUGGAUCCGCGCUGCAUUAGCUAGUUGGUAAGGUAACGGCUUACCAAGGCAACGAUGCAUAGCCGACCUGAUAGGGUGAUCGGCCACACUGGAACUGAGACACGGUCCAGACUCCUACGGGAGGCAGCAGUAGGGAAUCUUCCGCAAUGGGCGAAAGCCUGACGGAGCAACGCCGCGUGAGUGAUGAAGGUCUUCGGAUCGUAAAACUCUGUUAUUAGGGAAGAACAUAUGUGUAAGUAACUGUGCACAUCUUGACGGUACCUAAUCAGAAAGCCACGGCUAACUACGUG